RNAcentral lists this ribosomal RNA (360 nucleotides) under Triticum aestivum (bread wheat). RNAcentral describes it as "partial small subunit ribosomal RNA". The record is from RNAcentral. Lineage: Eukaryota; Viridiplantae; Streptophyta; Magnoliopsida; Poales; Poaceae.
AUGCCCUACCUGGUGUACAAAAUCAGUGUAUCAUGCAGGCGCAAUGGGAUGCAGAGAAAUAUCCAACUACAUGAUGUACCUACUGCGUGCAAAGCCAGAGAUGUUAAUGACGGGCACAAGGCGGAAUCUGUUCAUAGCCGCUUACAACAAACUCAAGGAAACCCGUGCUGCCCAAAACCACCGCUGGAGCAACGAGUGCGGGGGCGACCCAUGGCCAUGGGCCUGCGAAGGUUCUUGCACCGCUGCAUGAAUUCAAAAGAAGAAAAUGAGCAACAAAUGCUGGAGGAAAAAUCAGUUGCAGAGAGAACAAGUGAACUUUCUCUACAUUUUACAGCGACAUUUCAGAUAUGCUAUGUCUAG